GGGUUGUGAGGUUAAGCGACUAAGCGUACACGGUGGAUGCCCUGGCAGUCAGAGGCGAUGAAGGACGUGCUAAUCUGCGAUAAGCGUCGGUGAGGUGAUAUGAACCGUUAUAACCGGCGAUUUCCGAAUGGGGAAACCCAGUGUGUUUCGACACACUAUCAUUAACUGAAUCCAUAGGUUAAUGAGGCGAACCGGGGGAACUGAAACAUCUAAGUACCCCGAGGAAAAGAAAUCAACCGAGAUUCCCCCAGUAGCGGCGAGCGAACGGGGAGGAGCCCAGAGCCUGAAUCAGUGUGUGUGUUAGUGGAAGCGUCUGGAAAGGCGCGCGAUACAGGGUGACAGCCCCGUACACAAAAAUGCACAUGCUGUGAGCUCGAUGAGUAGGGCGGGACACGUGGUAUCCUGUCUGAAUAUGGGGGGACCAUCCUCCAAGGCUAAAUACUCCUGACUGACCGAUAGUGAACCAGUACCGUGAGGGAAAGGCGAAAAGAACCCCGGCGAGGGGAGUGAAAAAGAACCUGAAACCGUGUACGUACAAGCAGUGGGAGCCUCUUAAUGGGGUGACUGCGUACCUUUUGUAUAAUGGGUCAGCGACUUAUAUUCUGUAGCAAGGUUAACCGAAUAGGGGAGCCGAAGGGAAACCGAGUCUUAACUGGGCGUUAAGUUGCAGGGUAUAGACCCGAAACCCGGUGAUCUAGCCAUGGGCAGGUUGAAGGUUGGGUAACACUAACUGGAGGACCGAACCGACUAAUGUUGAAAAAUUAGCGGAUGACUUGUGGCUGGGGGUGAAAGGCCAAUCAAACCGGGAGAUAGCUGGUUCUCCCCGAAAGCUAUUUAGGUAGCGCCUCGUGAAUUCAUCUCCGGGGGUAGAGCACUGUUUCGGCAAGGGGGUCAUCCCGACUUACCAACCCGAUGCAAACUGCGAAUACCGGAGAAUGUUAUCACGGGAGACACACGGCGGGUGCUAACGUCCGUCGUGAAGAGGGAAACAACCCAGACCGCCAGCUAAGGUCCCAAAGUCAUGGUUAAGUGGGAAACGAUGUGGGAAGGCCCAGACAGCCAGGAUGUUGGCUUAGAAGCAGCCAUCAUUUAAAGAAAGCGUAAUAGCUCACUGGUCGAGUCGGCCUGCGCGGAAGAUGUAACGGGGCUAAACCAUGCACCGAAGCUGCGGCAGCGACACUGUGUGUUGUUGGGUAGGGGAGCGUUCUGUAAGCCUGUGAAGGUGUACUGUGAGGUAUGCUGGAGGUAUCAGAAGUGCGAAUGCUGACAUAAGUAACGAUAAAGCGGGUGAAAAGCCCGCUCGCCGGAAGACCAAGGGUUCCUGUCCAACGUUAAUCGGGGCAGGGUGAGUCGACCCCUAAGGCGAGGCCGAAAGGCGUAGUCGAUGGGAAACAGGUUAAUAUUCCUGUACUUGGUGUUACUGCGAAGGGGGGACGGAGAAGGCUAUGUUGGCCGGGCGACGGUUGUCCCGGUUUAAGCGUGUAGGCUGGUUUUCCAGGCAAAUCCGGAAAAUCAAGGCUGAGGCGUGAUGACGAGGCACUACGGUGCUGAAGCAACAAAUGCCCUGCUUCCAGGAAAAGCCUCUAAGCAUCAGGUAACAUCAAAUCGUACCCCAAACCGACACAGGUGGUCAGGUAGAGAAUACCAAGGCGCUUGAGAGAACUCGGGUGAAGGAACUAGGCAAAAUGGUGCCGUAACUUCGGGAGAAGGCACGCUGAUAUGUAGGUGAAGCGACUUGCUCGUGGAGCUGAAAUCAGUCGAAGAUACCAGCUGGCUGCAACUGUUUAUUAAAAACACAGCACUGUGCAAACACGAAAGUGGACGUAUACGGUGUGACGCCUGCCCGGUGCCGGAAGGUUAAUUGAUGGGGUUAGCGGUAACGCGAAGCUCUUGAUCGAAGCCCCGGUAAACGGCGGCCGUAACUAUAACGGUCCUAAGGUAGCGAAAUUCCUUGUCGGGUAAGUUCCGACCUGCACGAAUGGCGUAAUGAUGGCCAGGCUGUCUCCACCCGAGACUCAGUGAAAUUGAACUCGCUGUGAAGAUGCAGUGUACCCGCGGCAAGACGGAAAGACCCCGUGAACCUUUACUAUAGCUUGACACUGAACAUUGAGCCUUGAUGUGUAGGAUAGGUGGGAGGCUUUGAAGUGUGGACGCCAGUCUGCAUGGAGCCGGCCUUGAAAUACCACCCUUUAAUGUUUGAUGUUCUAACGUUGGCCCCUGAUCGGGGUUGCGGACAGUGUCUGGUGGGUAGUUUGACUGGGGCGGUCUCCUCCUAAAGAGUAACGGAGGAGCACGAAGGUUGGCUAAUCCUGGUCGGACAUCAGGAGGUUAGUGCAAUGGCAUAAGCCAGCUUGACUGCGAGCGUGACGGCGCGAGCAGGUGCGAAAGCAGGUCAUAGUGAUCCGGUGGUUCUGAAUGGAAGGGCCAUCGCUCAACGGAUAAAAGGUACUCCGGGGAUAACAGGCUGAUACCGCCCAAGAGUUCAUAUCGACGGCGGUGUUUGGCACCUCGAUGUCGGCUCAUCACAUCCUGGGGCUGAAGUAGGUCCCAAGGGUAUGGCUGUUCGCCAUUUAAAGUGGUACGCGAGCUGGGUUUAGAACGUCGUGAGACAGUUCGGUCCCUAUCUGCCGUGGGCGCUGGAGAACUGAGGGGGGCUGCUCCUAGUACGAGAGGACCGGAGUGGACGCAUCACUGGUGUUCGGGUUGUCAUGCCAAUGGCACUGCCCGGUAGCUAAAUGCGGAAGAGAUAAGUGCUGAAAGCAUCUAAGCACGAAACUUGCCCCGAGAUGAGUUCUCCCUGACUCCUUGAGAGUCCUGAAGGAACGUUGAAGACGACGACGUUGAUAGGCCGGGUGUGUAAGCGCAGCGAUGCGUUGAGCUAACCGGUACUAAUGAACCGUGAGGCUUAACCUUACAACGCCGAAG
This 2925-nucleotide ribosomal RNA is filed under the name Escherichia coli. Its description in RNAcentral is "23S ribosomal RNA". It matches the Rfam family "Bacterial large subunit ribosomal RNA". Lineage: Bacteria; Pseudomonadati; Pseudomonadota; Gammaproteobacteria; Enterobacterales; Enterobacteriaceae. The record is from RNAcentral.